GAGGGUGUCGACCAUAGCUCGUCAGGCUCAUAACCUGAAGGUCACAGGUUCAAAUCCUGUCCCCGCA
RNAcentral lists this transfer RNA (67 nucleotides) under Methylobacterium sp. Leaf99. It matches the Rfam family "tRNA". Rfam says of the family: Transfer RNA (tRNA) molecules are approximately 80 nucleotides in length. Their secondary structure includes four short double-helical elements and three loops (D, anti-codon, and T loops). Lineage: Bacteria; Pseudomonadati; Pseudomonadota; Alphaproteobacteria; Hyphomicrobiales; Methylobacteriaceae. The record is from Rfam by way of RNAcentral.